ACCACCAGAGUUGCAAGACCUGUGUGUAAGACCGUGCCGUGGACUCUCUGGCUCUUAGAUUUCCCCACCUUAUAAGUUCCCCGCUACCUGCGGUCAAAGUUGUAGAGUAAACUGCAAAGCUAACCUCAAAUGUUAGUGCAGCGAGAGUGUAAGUUUCACGUCGACUUAUACAGAAGAAACUACCAUGAACUUCUAACGAUAGCUUGUAGCCAUAUCUACAAUGCCCAGGUCUUGUGUUGUUUCCAAAUGCAAAACUGGUUAUAAAAGUUUGAAGGUUAAACGCUCGGUUUUCAAAGCACCAUCGAAUGUUGAAUUGUUUGACAAGUGGAAAGCGGUGUUACCGGAGGGAGUUCGUUUAACUGCGACGAAAUUUGUCUGUGAAAGACAUUUCAAAGAAGAAGAUAUCGUUAGAAGAUAUGUUAGAUUCGAUCAGAAUGGUCGAAAAAUUGCAGAUGUUCCCUUCAAGUGUCCUCGAUUGGCGGACCAGGCUGUUCCGUCGAUAUUUACUCCCGAUGACGAGACUGCUCAAUCCUUUUCUUCAGUCACCAAUUACAGCGAAUUGUCAGACUCGAUAGUCGAGAAAAAUGAUUCUCAGACAUUCAAAGCCAUGGAAGCGUCAAAUGUUACUCAUGAGGAAGUAAAAUUGGCGGAAGAAAAACCAUUGCCACAAUUUUCACAAACAGAAAUUGAAAAUGUGAGAACAUCACCUGCAUCUAAAUCACAGACUGGAAAUUAUUUAACUGUGUUACUGAAAAAUGAAAUGAGCAUUUGUACGGCUGAAGACUCUGAACUAGUCGCUGUCAAUCAGGCUCAAAUAUCAGAAGAACCAAAAACAUCUGUACAUUUGUUUGAUGCACUUACUUCAAAAAUCAAUCAAGGUGAAGAUAUUUCGAAAGCCAAUGAAAAUGACUUCUCGAUUCCUACAAGUUGGACGGUUAUAAAUCAGCUUUCCCCAAACAAGCAAUGUGUUACAAUCACCCACACACGAUAUAUGAAAAAAAACGGUGUGCAUCACCCGAUCUUUGAUAAAUAUGUCACAAUUGAUAUCGAUAAUCGAAUACGAUACUUUAUUUCGGGACGCGUUGUAGAAGCGCAAGAGGCCGGACUGCAAGAAACUUUAUUAAAUAAAAUAGAACUGACCAACAUUUUGAACAAAUUUGGAAACAUCAAUUUGUGUGGAGGUUUAGGAAACGUUGACACGCAAUAUCUUGAACUGAACAACGAAUUCAGAGAUUAUUUCGGUGAUUUGCACAGUGAUAAUUGUUCUCUGAUAUCAAAGAUGAAGCGAUGUCGCAGUUGUAUAAAGCUGCGGAAAAUCGCUUUUCAGAGAAAAUCCAGGUACAAUAACGAUCAGCCGAUACGACGUAUGCGAAAGGCUAUGAAUCCGAUUGAUCAGAGAUUGUUGCUAGCAUCACAGAAGAAACUGAAACGUCAAAAACGUAAAUUAAAACGAAUCAUGGCCGAAAGAGAAUUGUUGAAGAAUUCGCUAGCUGAAAAGACCCAAGAGUUGACCAAAAUCAACAACGAACCGUUUGAUGAAAAGUGUUCAAAACUCAACAUCCCAGCUGCUCAAAGAAUAACACUGAAUGAAAUAAUCGCAGCCGCUUCCACAACCAAAUCCAAUGGCCGACGUUAUUCGAACGAAUGGAUAAUGCAGUGUCUUUUGUUGAACAUAAAGUCGCCAUCUUUGUACGAGUAUUUAAGGGUGAAUAACAUUCUACCGUUACCCUGUUCAACAACUAUUCGUCGAUAUUUUUCACUCGCAAACAAGAAGUGCAACUUUGAUCAAAAUUUCACCGAGGUACUGAGGCGUAAAUUUGACAAACUAAAACAGAAAGGACUUAAACUGGACAGUCUGAUUUUGUUAAAGGAUCUCGAAACGAAAAAUCCAAUGGAUAUUUCUGCAGAAAGUCCAGCCUAUGUCAGUGUAUCGGAUUUCAGAAACGACGUCCUAAAGUCUCAAAGUGUCAAUGAUCAACCCACGCACGGUCUUGUUCUGAUGUUUCAAUCGUUGACGGACAGACAGACUCAUCCCGUUGCAGUUUUCAACGACGAAAAUCCUAUCCGAGGUGAACAAAUAUCAAAAUUAAUUAUCGAGGCGAUCGCAUGCCUAGAAAACUGUGGGGCCACAAUUCAUGGCGUUAUCGCUGAUGAUAAAACGAUGAAUAAGAAAAUCUGGUCUUCGUUGGGUGUCGAAGGCUCGAUUAAUGGCAUCAAAACAUGGUUUACACACCCUGUCGAUGAGAGCCGCAAAGUUUUCGCAUUUUCCAAUGCGUUGCACUUGAUAAGAUGCAUAAGAGAUCAAUUAUAUGAUAAUAAACGACUGCGUAUAAAUUCUCGUAGUAAUUACAUUGAGUGGAAAUAUAUCCAGGCUUUAUUCAUUCUCGACAGUGAUGAAGCGAGGGCUAGAGUUUGUCCUGAAAUUACACAGAAUCAUGUAAAAUUGGAUAGCACAUUAAGAAUGUGCGAUUGUCUUGCAACGCAGGUGUUCAGUAAUUCUGUAGCAAACGGGCUCAAAUUUUAUUUGGAUCGAAACUGUGAUUCAUUAAUCGGGUGUGAAGAAACUAUUGCAUUCUGCAAACGCAUGAAUGACAUGUUUGAUGCCUUGAAGUGUAACGCCGCAAAUCAAGGACUCACUCCUGAUUCUGCCAAUCUCAAGGUAUUGGACGAUUGUUUGAAAUGGUUAAAUACUUGGGAAAUUGCGCAGUUCAACGGCGAAAUAACGGCGGACGAAUUUUUAAAUACAGAAACAGCGCACGGGUUGCGUGUAAGCUUAACGUCGACUAUCGAGUUAUGCAAAUAUCUGACAGGGAGACUCGAAUUCGAAUGUCAAUUUGCAGGUGAAGCAAGCUAAAAGACAAGGCAGAGGGACAUUUGACUGUUGGGGUAGUGUAGGAGUUCAUAUAGUAUGUAUUAUGACCGCGGAUGGGCAAGGUUUCUUACCUGACUUAGGAAUUCAAUUCGUUCUUUAGCGUCAAGAGUGUCGCAUCAUUAGCUUGUGAUACGCCAAAAAAUUCAUCGGUUUGAAACAUGCGUAGAAUGAUGAGAAGUUGACCGAUUUGGAUUCUGUAAAAUGGAUUCUUCCCCAGAAAAAUCUACAAAUUUUGACUAAACAACAGAAAUUUCUUAUGCAAGAAAGGAAAUUUUAAUAUUUUUGUAAACAGUAUUAACCAAAAAUAUUAACGUAAAGAAUGACAAUAUUGAAACAGAGAUGUUAAAUAAAUUCAGGCAUCCAUACAUUGUGCCACAAAAUUUGAAAAAUGUCAAUGUUGAAUGGGUAUCGGAGUUCAGACAAAGGUGGAGCCAAGUUAACAGAAUGGAAAACAUAUUCUUCGAAAAAUUCACGACAUUUGUCAGAUAACGAUUAAGACAUUUUCACACUACAUGGAAAUGAAUAUUCAUCAUUAUUGUAAUAGUGAUUAAUUACUUUAUUCCAAUCCUCUUCUUUCCCAACCUUUUCAUGUGAUCCAUUUAUAAUCGUCAUUUUUAAACGCAUUUCAUAAAAACUGGACCAAAUCGAAUAACCUUUUCAUAAAAUAGUCGUCCAUAUUGAGAUUACCAUUUUGUAUUUUGGUUUUUUUUUUAUUUGUAA
Molecule: RNA transcript, 3592 nt
Organism: Neodiprion virginianus
Lineage: Eukaryota; Metazoa; Arthropoda; Insecta; Hymenoptera; Diprionidae
Exons: 9
Source: RefSeq, a predicted model, not a curated record